This 269-nucleotide unclassified non-coding RNA is filed under the name Hevea brasiliensis (rubber tree). Lineage: Eukaryota; Viridiplantae; Streptophyta; Magnoliopsida; Malpighiales; Euphorbiaceae. The record is from RNAcentral.
CAGCGGCCAUCUAGUUUCCAAGCCCUCAAGGUGAUAAAACAUGCUGUUAAACCUCCAAGAUCUAGGCCAUGAACUUGAACACUUCCAUUCAUGCCUACGUUUUCAAAUUCUAGAAUGUCAGAUUUUCCUUCUCCUGUUCCACAUUCAAAGUGAUGAUAUGAUCCAACAGUAUCAGCAAAAGUUUGGCACCAAUCAGCCAGGAUUGUGUCAUCAGACACCUCAUACUGGAAAGCUGUGUCUGCAACACAAAACCAACUGGUGCAGCGAGG